Leptinotarsa decemlineata (Colorado potato beetle) is the source of this 107-nucleotide long non-coding RNA. NCBI's taxonomy places the organism in Eukaryota, Metazoa, Arthropoda, Insecta, Coleoptera, Chrysomelidae. The record is from RefSeq and is a predicted model, not a curated record.
AAGGAUGGCUUUCACGUUCUAAAUGGUGUCAGAUGGUUCGACUUCCAACGUAAUGGUCUUUCCAGUUAGAGUUUUGACAAAGAUCUGCAUACCACCACGGAGACGAA